This is a non-coding RNA of Lolium perenne, 1133 nucleotides long. The record is from RefSeq and is a predicted model, not a curated record. NCBI's taxonomy places the organism in Eukaryota, Viridiplantae, Streptophyta, Magnoliopsida, Poales, Poaceae.
UCCGUCCUCCCGUCCGCCGUCAGAUCGGCCACCGGCGCUCCAGCGUCGGCUAUGAGAGAGGCAGUGCACGUGCUGCCCAGACCAUGGCGUCGCUGCCGGCCUGCUCGCUGGCGCCCGCGUGCACCAAUGCGCGCGGCUCCGUCGAGCUCGCCGACGCGAGGCCGUCGUCCGUGACGCGCUGCAAGGAGGUCGUCUCCUCGGAGGAGGGGAACGGGGACGUUCUUCGCUGGAUUCCGCCUUGGCCGCCGACUCCGGCCGCCGCUGCUCACCGUCUCCUCCGCCGCUGAAGAUACCGGAUGUAGGAGGCGUCCACGUCGUCCAGGAGGCCGCCCCCAAAGCACCACCGCUGCUACCUCAACGCUGCCGUACAGGACCUCGUCGCAUCGAAAGGUUCGUAUGCAUGCCAGGCAAGAAGACGCUCCUGGAGCACGCCGUGUCCGGCGGCAACCUGCCUUCUUCAUGACCAUAGUGCCGAUCUUUAUCAGGGAAGUGAAGAGGCCCACUGCUCUUCAUCUAGCUGCUCUGCAAGAUGGGAGAUACUUCAGUGGAGGUGACCGAGCAGAGUGACUCCUCACUCGAAGCAAUGGGCAUGACCCCUGGCUCCGACUACCUCAUUUGCUCCCGCGCCGCGACCGUGGUGGCAGCGAUGGUUGGCCUCGGCUACAACCUCCCCGGCUUUGUUUGCCCCAAAGAGAAGAGCAUAUUCGUCAGUGAGCAGCACGGGGUUGAGAGAUGGAGGCGGAGAUGUACCACUGCUCUUCAUGACCAUAGUGCUGAUCGUUAUCAAGGAAGUGAACAGGCCCAUUGGCCGUGUUGGCAGUUGAUGGUUGGCCUCGGGUACAACCUCCCUUCGCUGUGGCUGUAUUGUGGUCUGGGAGUCAAGACGUUGACCUGGUUGUUUAGGUUCCAGUUGCACGAUUUCUAGCCUUUGGUCAUUUCAUCAAUAAAGGAUGUUCUAGUUAACUCAUUAUGUGAUGUCUAGGAUUAGGUAGUGUUUGAAUUUAUUGCUAGCUCUUGGCAUUAUCUGGGCGUCGUUACCAUCUGUGUGCAUAUAUUUUUGGACAAAAUCGUGCUCCUGUGUAUGUGUUGUGGAACAGGUUGAGCUGGUUAUCCUUGUGUAGCAAUUAGUACCU